GACGAACGCUGGCGGCGUGCUUAACACAUGCAAGUCGAACGGAAAGGCCCUGCUUGCAGGGUACUCGAGUGGCGAACGGGUGAGUAACACGUGGGUGAUCUGCCCUGCACUUCGGGAUAAGCCUGGGAAACUGGGUCUAAUACCGGAGAGGAGCCAUUUUUAGUGUGAUGGUUGGAAAGUUUUUUCGGUGUAGGAUGAGCUCGCGGCCUAUCAGCUUGUUGGGGGGGUAAUGGCCUACCAAGGCGGCGACGGGUAGCCGGCCUGGGAGGGUGGAGGGCCAAAUUGGGACUGGGAAACGGCCCGGACCCCUACGGGAGGAAGCAGGGGGGAAAAUUGAACAAUGGGCCAAAGCCGGAUGCAGCGACGCCGCGUGGGGGAUGACGGCCUUCGGGUUGUAAACUCCUUUCGCUAGGGACGAAGCUUUUUGUGACGGUACCUAGAUAAGAAGCACCGGCUAACUACGUG
This 465-nucleotide ribosomal RNA is filed under the name uncultured bacterium. RNAcentral describes it as "partial 16S ribosomal RNA". It matches the Rfam family "Bacterial small subunit ribosomal RNA", at positions 28 to 507 of the family's 1533-position model. The record is from RNAcentral.